This 467-nucleotide ribosomal RNA is filed under the name Cladosporium cladosporioides. RNAcentral's name for it is "eukaryotic LSU rRNA". The stretch from base 115 to 268 matches the Rfam family "5.8S ribosomal RNA". Lineage: Eukaryota; Fungi; Ascomycota; Dothideomycetes; Cladosporiales; Cladosporiaceae. The record is from RNAcentral.
GUUGUCCGACUCUGUUGCCUCCGGGGCGACCCUGCCUUCGGGCGGGGGCUCCGGGUGGACACUUCAAACUCUUGCGUAACUUUGCAGUCUGAGUAAACUUAAUUAAUAAAUUAAAACUUUUAACAACGGAUCUCUUGGUUCUGGCAUCGAUGAAGAACGCAGCGAAAUGCGAUAAGUAAUGUGAAUUGCAGAAUUCAGUGAAUCAUCGAAUCUUUGAACGCACAUUGCGCCCCCUGGUAUUCCGGGGGGCAUGCCUGUUCGAGCGUCAUUUCACCACUCAAGCCUCGCUUGGUAUUGGGCAACGCGGUCCGCCGCGUGCCUCAAAUCGACCGGCUGGGUCUUCUGUCCCCUAAGCGUUGUGGAAACUAUUCGCUAAAGGGUGUUCGGGAGGCUACGCCGUAAAACAACCCCAUUUCUAAGGUUGACCUCGGAUCAGGUAGGGAUACCCGCUGAACUUAAGCAUAUCA